RNAcentral lists this ribosomal RNA (468 nucleotides) under uncultured bacterium. RNAcentral's name for it is "partial 16S ribosomal RNA". It matches the Rfam family "Bacterial small subunit ribosomal RNA", at positions 28 to 507 of the family's 1533-position model. The record is from RNAcentral.
GACGAACGCUGGCGGCGUGCUUAACACAUGCAAGUCGAACGGAAAGGCCCUGCUUUUGUGGGGUGCUCGUGUGGCGAACGGGUGAGUAACACGUGAGUAACCUGCCCUUGACUUUGGGAUAACUUCAGGAAACUGCGGCUAAUACCGGAUAGGAUCUACUGCUGCAUGGUGGGGGUUGGAAAGUUUCGGCGGUUGGGGAUGGACUCGCGGCUUAUCAGCUGGUUGGUGGGGUAGUGGCUUACCAAGUCUUCGACGGGUAGCCGGCCUGAGAGGGUUACCGGCCACAUUGGGACUGAGAUACGGCCCAGUCUCCUACGGGAGGCAGUAGUGGGGAAUAUUGCACAAUGGGCGGAAGUCUGAUGCAGCAACGCCGCGUUCGGGAUGACGGGCUUCGGGUUGUAAACCGCUUUCGCCUGUGACGAAGCGUGAGUGACGGUAAUGGGUAAAGAAGCACCGGCUAACUACGUG